GGACCUGACUGCUAUCGGAUUGAUACUAAGCCAUGUGAGUCUUUGUAGCAAUACAAGGCAUACGGCUCAGUAACACGUAGUCAAUCUAACCUAUGGACGGGGAUAACCUCGGGAAACUGAGAAUAAUACCCGAUAGAUCAUUAUGCCUGGAAUGGUUUAUGGUUCAAAUGAUUCGUUCGCCGUAGGAUGGGACUGCGACCUAUCAGUUUGUUGGUGAGGUAAUGGCCCACCAAGACUAUUACAGGUACGGGCUCUGAGAGGAGAAGCCCGGAGAUGGGUACUGAGACACGGACCCAGGCCCUAUGGGGCGCAGCAGGCGAGAAAACUUUGCAAUGUGCGAAAGCACGACAAGGUUAAUCCGAGUAGUUCCUGCUAAAGGAACCUUUUGUUAGUCGUAAAACCACUGAUGAAUAAGGGGUGGGCAAGUUCUGGUGUCAAAGG
Molecule: ribosomal RNA, 441 nt
Filed under: uncultured archaeon
Lineage: Archaea
Description: bacterial SSU rRNA
Rfam family: Archaeal small subunit ribosomal RNA
Source: RNAcentral